RNAcentral lists this ribosomal RNA (492 nucleotides) under uncultured bacterium. RNAcentral describes it as "partial 16S ribosomal RNA". It matches the Rfam family "Bacterial small subunit ribosomal RNA", at positions 29 to 507 of the family's 1533-position model. The record is from RNAcentral.
AGCGAACGCUGGCGGUAGGCCUAACACAUGCAAGUCGAACGAACUCAUCGUAAGUGCUUGCUCUUACGGGAGGAGAGUGGCGGACGGGUGAGGUAUACAUCGGAAUAUACAUUUACACGGGGGAUAACGUAGGGUAACUUCCGCUAAUACCGCAUACGUCCUCCGGGUAAAGGCAGGGGUUCUUCGGGCCUUGCGCGAAUGAAUGAGCCGAUGUCGGCUUAGCUCGUUGGCGGGGUAAAGGGGCACCCAGGCGACGAUCCGUAGCUGGUCUGAGAGGGACAUCAGCUACACGGGAACUGAGACACGCUCCAGACUCCGACAGUGGGCAGCAGUGGGGAAUAUUAGACGAUGGGCCAAAGCCUGAUCCAGCGAUACCGCGUGAGUCAAGAAGGCCUUCUGGCUGUAAAGCCCUGUUGUUCUGAAAGAAAAGCAGCUGUUUAAUCCCCCGCUGUUCUGACGGUACCCAAAGAAUAAGCACCGGCUAACUUCGUG